Molecule: ribosomal RNA, 253 nt
Filed under: uncultured bacterium
Lineage: Bacteria
Description: partial 16S ribosomal RNA
Rfam family: Bacterial small subunit ribosomal RNA
Source: RNAcentral
UACAGAGGGUGCAAGCGUUGUCCGGAAUUAUUGGGCGUAAAGGGUAGGUAGGUGGUCUCAUUUGUCAGGGGUGAAAUCCUUGGGCUUAACUCAAGAAGUGCCCCUGAAACGGUGAGACUCGAGUCCUGGAGAGGUGAGUGGAAUUCCCGGUGUAGCGGUGAAAUGCGUAGAGAUCGGGAGGAACACCAGAGGCGAAGGCGGCUCACUGGACAGAUACUGACACUCAACUACGAAAGCGUGGGGAGCAAACAGG